RNAcentral lists this non-coding RNA (23 nucleotides) under Arabidopsis thaliana (thale cress). The record is from RNAcentral. Lineage: Eukaryota; Viridiplantae; Streptophyta; Magnoliopsida; Brassicales; Brassicaceae.
UACAUCAGACUUUUCGAGCUGAA